GGCGGUGUAGCUCAGGUGGUUAGAGCACACGGCUCAUACCCGUGGUGUCCGGGGUUCGAAUCCCUGCACCGCCACCA
RNAcentral lists this transfer RNA (77 nucleotides) under Candidatus Aerophobota bacterium. RNAcentral describes it as "Candidatus Aerophobetes bacterium tRNA-Met". It matches the Rfam family "tRNA". From Rfam's summary of the family: Transfer RNA (tRNA) molecules are approximately 80 nucleotides in length. Their secondary structure includes four short double-helical elements and three loops (D, anti-codon, and T loops). Lineage: Bacteria; Candidatus Aerophobota. RNAcentral also lists the same sequence under 1 other name. The record is from RNAcentral.